UCCUCCUUUCUGAAGAACUGUAAUGUCAUUAAUUUGGUGUUGCAGGGAAACAGGACUGUUACUUUGAAAAAAUUAGAGUGUUUAAAGCAGGCUAACGCUUGAAUACAUUAGCAUGGAAUAAUGAAAUAGGACGUUCCAUCCUAUUUUGUUGGUUUCUAGGAUUGACGUAAUGAUUAAUAAGGAUUGUUGGGGGCAUUAGUAUCCAAUUGUCAGAGGUGAAAUUCCUGGAUUUAUUGAACACUGCCUACGGCUAAAGCCUUUGCCCAGGAUGUUUUCAUUAAUCUUUAACGAAAGUUAGGGGAUCUUUCACUAUCACAUACCAUUCGUGACCUUAACCAUUCUCCAUGCCGGACUAAGGAUCGGAUGAUGUUA
RNAcentral lists this ribosomal RNA (372 nucleotides) under uncultured Glomeromycotina. RNAcentral describes it as "bacterial SSU rRNA". It matches the Rfam family "Eukaryotic small subunit ribosomal RNA", at positions 694 to 1065 of the family's 1831-position model. The record is from RNAcentral. Lineage: Eukaryota; Fungi; Glomeromycota.